CCGCGGUAAUACGGAGGAUCCGAGCGUUAUCCGGAUUUAUUGGGUUUAAAGGGAGCGUAGGUGGAUUGAUAAGUCAGUUGUGAAAGUUUGCGGCUCAACCGUAAAAUUGCAAUUGAUACUGUCAGUCUUGAGUACAGUAGAGGUGGGCGGAAUUCGUGGUGUAGCGGUGAAAUGCUUAGAUAUCACGAAGAACUCCGAUUGCGAAGGCAGCUCACUAGCCUGCAACUGACACUGAGGCUCGAAAGUGUGGGUAUCAAACAGGAUUAGAUACCCUGGUAGUCCACACAGUAAACGAUGAAUACUCGCUGUUUGCGAUAUACAGUAAGCGGCCAAGCGAAAGCAUUAAGUAUUCCACCUGGGGAGUACGCCGGCAACGGUG
Molecule: ribosomal RNA, 379 nt
Filed under: uncultured bacterium
Lineage: Bacteria
Description: bacterial SSU rRNA
Rfam family: Bacterial small subunit ribosomal RNA
Source: RNAcentral